Non-coding RNA from Mycena olivaceomarginata, 95 nucleotides. The record is from the annotation of a GenBank genome assembly. NCBI's taxonomy places the organism in Eukaryota, Fungi, Basidiomycota, Agaricomycetes, Agaricales, Mycenaceae.
UCGGACAUGGUGUACGGAACACCGCCAGCUUUCUUGAAAACAUUAUAUUACGCUGUAGUCGCUGGCAGUCCGGGGUUCGACUCCCCGUGUCCGAA